AGAGUUUGAUCCUGGCUCAGAACGAACGCUGGCGGCGUGCUUAACACAUGCAAGUCGAACGAGAAAGGGACUUCGGUCCUGAGUACAGUGGCGCACGGGUGAGUAACACGUGGAUAAUCUACCUGAUGGACAGGGAUAACAUCUCGAAAGAGGUGCUAAUACCAGAUAAGCCCACAGCAUCUACGGAUGCAGCGGGAAAAGGGGGCCUCUUCAUGAAAGCUUCCACCAACAGAUGAGUCCGCGGUCCAUUAGCUAGUUGGUAGGGUAAUGGCCUACCAAGGCCACGAUGGAUAGCUGGUUUGAGAGAAUGAUCAGCCACACUGGAACUGAGACACGGUCCAGACUCCUACGGGAGGCAGCAGUGGGGAAUAUUGCGCAAUGGGGGAAACCCUGACGCAGCAACGCCGCGUGAGUGAUGAAGGUUUUCGGAUCGUAAAGCUCUGUCAAGAGGGAAGAAACCCCGAUAGGCUAAUACCUUGUCGGAUUGACGGUACCUCUAAAGGAAGCACCGGCUAACUCCGUGCCAGCAGCCGCGGUAAUACGGAGGGUGCGAGCGUUGUUCGGAAUUAUUGGGCGUAAAGCGCGUGCAGGCGGUUGUUUAAGUCUGAUGUGAAAGCCCCGGGCUCAACCUGGGAAGUGCAUUGGAAACUGGGCAACUUGAGUACGGGAGAGGGAAGUGGAAUUUCGAGUGUAGGGGUGAAAUCCGUAGAUACUCGAAGGAACACCAGUGGCGAGGGCGGCUUCCUGGACCGAUACUGACGCUGAGACCCGAAAGCGUGGGGAGCGAACAGGAUUAGAUACCCUGGGUAGACCGCGCCGUACACGCUGGGUACUAGGUGUCCCGGGUAUUGACCCCUGGGGGUGGCCAACCUAACGUUUUAAGUACCCCGUCUGGGAGAGGACGGAGUCCCAGAAAUAAAACUUCAAAGGGAUUGGCCGGGG
RNAcentral lists this ribosomal RNA (942 nucleotides) under uncultured bacterium. RNAcentral's name for it is "bacterial SSU rRNA". It matches the Rfam family "Bacterial small subunit ribosomal RNA", at positions 8 to 919 of the family's 1533-position model. The record is from RNAcentral.